UCAGAGGCGAUGAAGGACGUGCUAAUCUGCGAUAAGCGUCGGUAAGGUGAUAUGAACCGUUAUAACCGGCGAUUUCCGAAUGGGGAAACCCAGUGUGAUUCGUCACACUAUCAUUAACUGAAUCCAUAGGUUAAUGAGGCGAACCGGGGGAACUGAAACAUCUAAGUACCCCGAGGAAAAGAAAUCAACCGAGAUUCCCCCAGUAGCGGCGAGCGAACGGGGAGCAGCCCAGAGCCUGAAUCAGUGUGUGUGUUAGUGGAAGCGUCUGGAAAGGCGUGCGAUACAGGGUGACAGCCCCGUACACAAAAAUGCACAUGCUGUGAGCUCGAUGAGUAGGGCGGGACACGUGGUAUCCUGUCUGAAUAUGGGGGGACCAUCCUCCAAGGCUAAAUACUCCUGACUGACCGAUAGUGAACCAGUACCGUGAGGGAAAGGCGAAAAGAACCCCGGCGAGGGGAGUGAAAAAGAACCUGAAACCGUGUACGUACAAGCAGUGGGAGCACGCUUAGGCGUGUGACUGCGUACCUUUUGUAUAAUGGGUCAGCGACUUAUAUUCUGUAGCAAGGUUAACCGAAUAGGGGAGCCGAAGGGAAACCGAGUCUUAACUGGGCGUUAAGUUGCAGGGUAUAGACCCGAAACCCGGUGAUCUAGCCAUGGGCAGGUUGAAGGUUGGGUAACACUAACUGGAGGACCGAACCGACUAAUGUUGAAAAAUUAGCGGAUGACUUGUGGCUGGGGGUGAAAGGCCAAUCAAACCGGGAGAUAGCUGGUUCUCCCCGAAAGCUAUUUAGGUAGCGCCUCGUGAAUUCAUCUCCGGGGGUAGAGCACUGUUUCGGCAAGGGGGUCAUCCCGACUUACCAACCCGAUGCAAACUGCGAAUACCGGAGAAUGUUAUCACGGGAGACACACGGCGGGUGCUAACGUCCGUCGUGAAGAGGGAAACAACCCAGACCGCCAGCUAAGGUCCCAAAGUCAUGGUUAAGUGGGAAACGAUGUGGGAAGGCCCAGACAGCCAGGAUGUUGGCUUAGAAGCAGCCAUCAUUUAAAGAAAGCGUAAUAGCUCACUGGUCGAGUCGGCCUGCGCGGAAGAUGUAACGGGGCUAAACCAUGCACCGAAGCUGCGGCAGCGACGCUGAUGCGUUGUUGGGUAGGGGAGCGUUCUGUAAGCCUGCGAAGGUGUGCUGUGAGGCAUGCUGGAGGUAUCAGAAGUGCGAAUGCUGACAUAAGUAACGAUAAAGCGGGUGAAAAGCCCGCUCGCCGGAAGACCAAGGGUUCCUGUCCAACGUUAAUCGGGGCAGGGUGAGUCGACCCCUAAGGCGAGGCCGAAAAGCGUAGUCGAUGGGAAACAGGUUAAUAUUCCUGUACUUGGUGUUACUGCGAAGGGGGGACGGAGAAGGCUAUGUUGGCCGGGCGACGGUUGUCCCGGUUUAAGCGUGUAGGCUGGUUUUCCAGGCAAAUCCGGAAAAUCAAGGCUGAGGCGUGAUGACGAGGCACUACGGUGCUGAAGCAACAAAUGCCCUGCUUCCAGGAAAAGCCUCUAAGCAUCAGGUAACAUCAAAUCGUACCCCAAACCGACACAGGUGGUCAGGUAGAGAAUACCAAGGCGCUUGAGAGAACUCGGGUGAAGGAACUAGGCAAAAUGGUGCCGUAACUUCGGGAGAAGGCACGCUGAUAUGUAGGUGAAGCGACUUGCUCGUGGAGCUGAAAUCAGUCGAAGAUACCAGCUGGCUGCAACUGUUUAUUAAAAACACAGCACUGUGCAAACACGAAAGUGGACGUAUACGGUGUGACGCCUGCCCGGUGCCGGAAGGUUAAUUGAUGGGGUCAGCGCAAGCGAAGCUCUUGAUCGAAGCCCCGGUAAACGGCGGCCGUAACUAUAACGGUCCUAAGGUAGCGAAAUUCCUUGUCGGGUAAGUUCCGACCUGCACGAAUGGCGUAAUGAUGGCCAGGCUGUCUCCACCCGAGACUCAGUGAAAUUGAACUCGCUGUGAAGAUGCAGUGUACCCGCGGCAAGACGGAAAGACCCCGUGAACCUUUACUAUAGCUUGACACUGAACAUUGAGCCUUGAUGUGUAGGAUAGGUGGGAGGCUUUGAAGUGUGGACGCCAGUCUGCAUGGAGCCGACCUUGAAAUACCACCCUUUAAUGUUUGAUGUUCUAACGUGGACCCGUGAUCCGGGUUGCGGACAGUGUCUGGUGGGUAGUUUGACUGGGGCGGUCUCCUCCUAAAGAGUAACGGAGGAGCACGAAGGUUGGCUAAUCCUGGUCGGACAUCAGGAGGUUAGUGCAAUGGCAUAAGCCAGCUUGACUGCGAGCGUGACGGCGCGAGCAGGUGCGAAAGCAGGUCAUAGUGAUCCGGUGGUUCUGAAUGGAAGGGCCAUCGCUCAACGGAUAAAAGGUACUCCGGGGAUAACAGGCUGAUACCGCCCAAGAGUUCAUAUCGACGGCGGUGUUUGGCACCUCGAUGUCGGCUCAUCACAUCCUGGGGCUGAAGUAGGUCCCAAGGGUAUGGCUGUUCGCCAUUUAAAGUGGUACGCGAGCUGGGUUUAGAACGUCGUGAGACAGUUCGGUCCCUAUCUGCCGUGGGCGCUGGAGAACUGAGGGGGGCUGCUCCUAGUACGAGAGGACCGGAGUGGACGCAUCA
Molecule: ribosomal RNA, 2643 nt
Filed under: Escherichia coli
Lineage: Bacteria; Pseudomonadati; Pseudomonadota; Gammaproteobacteria; Enterobacterales; Enterobacteriaceae
Description: 23S ribosomal RNA
Rfam family: Bacterial large subunit ribosomal RNA
Source: RNAcentral